This 542-nucleotide ribosomal RNA is filed under the name Bacteroidetes bacterium K4. RNAcentral describes it as "bacterial SSU rRNA". It matches the Rfam family "Bacterial small subunit ribosomal RNA", at positions 355 to 896 of the family's 1533-position model. The record is from RNAcentral. Lineage: Bacteria; Pseudomonadati; Bacteroidota.
UAGGGAAUAUUGGGCAAUGGAGGCAACUCUGACCCAGCCAUGCCGCGUGCAGGAAGACGGUCCUCUGGAUUGUAAACUGCUUUUGAAUGGGAAGAAUGUGUGGCUUGCGAGCUAUAAUGACGGUACCAUUAGAAUAAGCCACGGCUAACUACGUGCCAGCAGCCGCGGUAAUACGUAGGUGGCGAGCGUUAUCCGGAUUUAUUGGGUUUAAAGGGUGCGUAGGCGGCUUAAUAAGUCGGUGGUUAAAAGUAGCAGCUUAACUGUUUUACAUGCCAUCGAUACUGUUGAGCUUGAGAUAUUUGGAGGCAGCUAGAAUUUCCGGUGUAGCGGUGAAAUGCAUAGAUACCGGAAGGAAUACCAAUUGCGAAGGCAGGUUGCUACGAAUAAACUGACGCUGAUGCACGAAAGCGUGGGGAUCAAACAGGAUUAGAUACCCCGGUAGUCCACGCCGUAAACGAUGAUUACUAGUUGUNNNGGUUUAAGCCUCAGUGACCAAGGGAAACCGAUAAGUAAUCCACCUGGGGAGUACGCCGGCAACGGUG